AUAUCCCGCAACAAGCGCAUCUUGCCUUUGUUGCAGCAUUAAGUUGGCACUCAGAGGGAUGCCAGGAUAAUCGGAGGAGGGUGGGGAUGAGUCAAAUCAUCAUGCCCCUUAUGCUUAGGGCUACACACGUGCUACAAUGGGUGGUACAGAGGGUUGCCAAGCCGCGAGGUGGAGCUAAUCCCUUAAAGCCAUUCUCAGUUCGGAUUGUAGGCUGAAACUCGCCUACAUGAAGCUGGAGUUACUAGUAAUCGCAGAUCAGAAUGCUGCGGUGAAUGCGUUCCCGGGUCUUGAAC
RNAcentral lists this ribosomal RNA (293 nucleotides) under uncultured bacterium. Its description in RNAcentral is "partial 16S ribosomal RNA". It matches the Rfam family "Bacterial small subunit ribosomal RNA", at positions 1082 to 1386 of the family's 1533-position model. The record is from RNAcentral.